Molecule: non-coding RNA, 1284 nt
Organism: Danio rerio (zebrafish)
Lineage: Eukaryota; Metazoa; Chordata; Actinopteri; Cypriniformes; Danionidae
Source: RefSeq, a predicted model, not a curated record
CAUAGUGAAUUUAUUUCCACAUAUAAAUGAGGCCAGAAACUGAUCUGAGUAUAUUGUAAUACAGGGGCAUGGCUCAGAUUCUUGGCUAAAUGCAAAAACAGUGUAUGGAGGCUCUCUCUCUCUCUCUCUCUCUCUCUCUCUCUCUCUCUCUCUCACGUGGUGUGCGUUUGGGUGAACGGGAGCUGAGCGUCUUUUGGAGAGCGUGGCUUUUCUUACCUUUUUUUUUUCCCCUUAAAUUAAUUUAUUUUUCCCCCCCCCGUUUUCUUUGUAGUUUAUGUUUGUUAUUUUUGUACCUAAAUAACGUUUAAACAACAUUUAACGCCGCAAUGGCGGCUGAUCCCGAGCAAGGGACGCCCUCACUGUCACUCAGAAACGGUUGCAGGUGUGUACCAGAGCCGGGGGUGACAGUGGAGGAGCUGCUUUUGAUCUUUGGAGAACAGGUAGGCUUUGAGAAUAUUCUCUCGGCCUCCCGCAUGAACAAAGCUGUUGUUGUAUUCCUUAAAUCGGAAUCUUUAGUUAAUCAGCUGAUUGUGAGUGGAAUAUGGGUGAAAGAAACGUUUGUAAGGGUAAACCCGCUGUCCACUCCUGCAACAAAAAUCACGAUCUCGAAUGUUCCGCCUUUUAUUUCAGAUGAAAUGAUUACGAAAGAGUUGCAAAGGUUUGGGAAAAUUGCAGGCCCCGUUAGAACGAUCCCCCUUGGGUGUAAGAAUGUCGCUUUAAAACAUGUUCUCUCGUUUAGACGUCAAGUUUACAUGUUUUUGAAUUCACCGGACCGUAUAUUAGACGCGUCUUUUCGCGUAAAUCAUGGGGAAAAUUCCUACAUGGUUUUCGCUAGUACUGAAAGCAUGAAGUGCUUUCAGUGCGGAAUUUUUGGGCACAAACGGUUUUUUUUGUCCAAAUAAGGAUGGAAAACAAACAACUGAUACAAAUACCGGGACAAAUGACACGGAAAUACAAACAGGAGAUAAACAGACACAGGGAGGUGGCGAGCAAAGGGAAGAAGAACAGCAAGAGGGGAUACUCAUUCUGAGGUCCUCAGAUUGAUCCAAGACCGGAGACGAGAUGAUCCCAAGGUUUCCAUAUCCUGGACCAGGCCGAAUCCUGAGCAGCUGCUGUAGUGGUCAUGGAGGAGUGGAGCGCAUGAGAUUUAUUCCUGUGACACCCCAGGGACAGACGAGUCUUUGCUGAGGCCCAGCCUCCAGCCUCCAGCCUCCACUGCUGAGACUGCAGCUCUGCACAAGACGUUUGGCCAGCGGAGAAAUUAAAAUGGUUGUGCCCAAAUGA